This 253-nucleotide ribosomal RNA is filed under the name uncultured bacterium. RNAcentral describes it as "partial 16S ribosomal RNA". It matches the Rfam family "Bacterial small subunit ribosomal RNA", at positions 524 to 776 of the family's 1533-position model. The record is from RNAcentral.
UACGAAGGGGGCGAGCGUUGUUCGGAUUUACUGGGCGUAAAGGGCGCGCAGGCGGCUCAUUUUGUCAGGCGUGAAAGCCCCGGGCUUAACCUGGGAACUGCGUUUGAUACGGAUGGGCUAGAGUUCGGGAGAGGAGAGUGGAAUUCCCAGUGUAGAGGUGAAAUUCGUAGAUAUCGAGAGGAACACCGGUGGCGAAGGCGGCCUUCUGGACAGUGACUGACGCUGAGACGCGAAAUCGUGGGGAGCAAACAGG